AGUGGUGAUUGGUGUUUGUGGGCAUGUCGGAUCCCUGCUCCGGGCAGCGACGGCAUUUCCCCCCACGCCUCUUCAUACGUGGGAAUGAGCUUUGAUUCGUCCGCGGUCGGUUUCCUGUAUGCAUACCUAUUGCGAGGGCACGCGGUUGGCUAAAACGGUCCCAUCUCCGCCUCGUGUCGGCGCUCCAUACGGGCGUUCGGUGCGGGGUGGAUCUCAAGGCUUGCGUUGUGUUUCGCGCCGYAUUCACCCAUAAAAUGGUGUUUGGGUUGGCGACCCACGACGUGAUGCCCCGUUGUCUCGGGUACGGAAUAUCGGGUGUGUUCGAGGCAUUGUCCUUUGAGCACCACAAAAAUGCGUUCUACGCUUGAUGCGAACGACGACUGCAUACGACCUUCGGCAUAGCACUCGUUGCUCGGUCGAAGUCGUGUCGGCGUCGAUGAGGGAUGC
This 447-nucleotide unclassified non-coding RNA is filed under the name Hyptis microphylla. RNAcentral's name for it is "partial external transcribed spacer". The record is from RNAcentral. Lineage: Eukaryota; Viridiplantae; Streptophyta; Magnoliopsida; Lamiales; Lamiaceae.